UAAUAAGCUUUUCCAUCAACAUCACGCUGCACCAGACUCAAAAUACAAUCAAUUAAUCAUUCUUUUACCAUCAUAACUACAAGAACUGGCACAGAUGCAAAACUGAAACAAAGCAAAUUUUAACGAAGUCAACAAUUGUAGCUGUUGAUCACAGUUGACUCCAUUAACUAUUUAUAUCAUAAUGUCAUUCAGUUCAGCCUUGCAUGGUUUAGUUAUUCUUAAUUUUUAGAAGUAUUGGGGGCUUCAUGAAAUUUAGUAAUUUUUGGCAGCCAUUAAUGUCUUACAAAAGCAGUUCUCCAUGAUAGAUCUAUAUUUAUAAUGUUAACCAGAAAUUUCACUUCAUGUAAUGAAAAGCAGCAUUUGAUUUUCAUCAUUUAUGGUUGUCAAUGAGAUUAAGAAAGAGAGCAGUUAUUUUAGACCCAACAAAUUGCUGAUGGAAUGGUUUGGCAAUUCCAAAUGCCUUCUGCUUUUCAUCUUUGUAAUCCACUUAUGCAUAUAGGUUUCACUAUGCAAAAUUAGCACAAAAUACAGAUCCAAAACCUUACUACUUGAUAUCCAUCAUAAAGUGAUCAGCAUGCAAAGCAACGGGAAGGCAAUGAAAACAAUCUGAAGUACUUGGCACAACAGAUUAUUCCCCCAACUAUUUUUUUUAAUUGGAAACAAAUGGUGCCCUGCCACUUUGUAAAAUCACAAAAUAGAUUAGAGUUAAAAUAAACAAGAGCAAAUUAUA
RNAcentral lists this unclassified non-coding RNA (730 nucleotides) under Hevea brasiliensis (rubber tree). The record is from RNAcentral. Lineage: Eukaryota; Viridiplantae; Streptophyta; Magnoliopsida; Malpighiales; Euphorbiaceae.